ACGUUACUCCCUCCGUUCGAAAAUACUUGUCGGAAAAAUUGAUGUAUCUAGACAUAUUAUAGUUCUAGAUACAUUUAUUUUUAUGCAUUUUUUCAACAAGUACUUCCGGACAGAGGGAGUACUUU
This is a non-coding RNA of Triticum aestivum (bread wheat), 125 nucleotides long. The record is from Rfam. Lineage: Eukaryota; Viridiplantae; Streptophyta; Magnoliopsida; Poales; Poaceae.